CUUGGCACUUUCUGCAGUAGCUCUGGAAAUUCUCUUUCAAGAGUGUCUUUAGAAGAUGUGAAAAAAAAUAUACAACGAAGGCUUCUGCCAAGCACCACCCAACAGAAAGGCAGCUCGUAAAAACACGACGCUGUGUCCUCAUCUACCUUAUUCACCAGAUCUGUCGCUGUGCAACUUCCAGCUUUUCCUGGAGUAAAAAUGACCAUGAAAGGGACAUCAAGGCAGCCAGAACAACACAACCAAAGACGCUCAUGAACGAGGACUUCCAGAGCCGCUCCAGAAACCUCCUUUCCAGGCCUCCUACCUGGGAUAAACACACAAGCAGAAUCUGCAGAGCAGGAGAGAAGGCGUGCAAUUGCUGGUUAAGGCAGAGAUGUGGAUGAACCCUGGAGUCGGACUGGCACGGACUCCGGUUGCUGCCUGGAAGGACCUUCCCUGGAGAGGCAGGAAGCAGAUGGGGUGUGAAGGGGAAGAUGAAAUGCUCACGAGAGGGGAUCCAGCCUUCCCAGCUUUGGGUCCGUUUGCUUCUCACGCACGCAUUGGGCGUUUGACCCAUGUGUGGCUCAUCAAGUCUCUGUACACAGACAGCCACGUAAGGAGAUUAGAGUUGGGGAGAAUGAAACGCAGGCUUUCCUUGAAUUGUUGGGAAAGAAAGUCUCUUUCCUGCUGGAUUUGAACCCGGGACAGUGCAGCUUUACAGCAACUGGCAGCCACCACCAGCGCCUCUGGAAGCCACGGUAGAGAAGAGAAAGGCGAGAGAGGAAGACAGAUCUGGGCAGGGAUGAUGUCGUUUGAGCCACUGAACGAAAUUCUACCUACAGUGAAUUAACCCCAAUUGUUCUGUGUUGUGUAGUUUCUCUUCUGUAAACCAGUGUGAGCUAAGUCUUAAUCUGACAGGACUCCUAGCCUCGCUGAAAGGCACGAAGAACGAGCCCUCUGUGAACACCUCUACAGUUACCGAAGCAUAGCUACCUCUCUGUCCUGACUCCCCAGCUCUCCUGUUGUGGUGAAGAAGGGGCUCUUAUUCCUAUUGUCACAGAGAGGCCACCUGUGGCUCAGGGAGCUGACAGUCCACAGUGAGACGGCCUGCACAUCAAGAUAGAAAUCCUGCUCCCUUCAAUCUGGUUCCAGAGUUUCUCUGCACAGAUAAUGUCAUGUUAAAUUAAACUCCAAUAAUGUUGAACUAAA
Molecule: long non-coding RNA, 1188 nt
Organism: Chinchilla lanigera (long-tailed chinchilla)
Lineage: Eukaryota; Metazoa; Chordata; Mammalia; Rodentia; Chinchillidae
Exons: 3
Source: RefSeq, a predicted model, not a curated record